AAAAGAAUUAGUUAAAAUAUAAUUUGAGUUUGUCAAACUCAAGUUGCCUAAGGUGGCAUUCUUUUA
This 66-nucleotide transfer RNA is filed under the name Unio crassus. RNAcentral describes it as "tRNA-Asp". The record is from RNAcentral. Lineage: Eukaryota; Metazoa; Mollusca; Bivalvia; Unionida; Unionidae.